CCUGCCAGUAGUUAUACGCUUGUUUCAAAGAUUAAGCCAUGCACGUGUAAGUAUAAUCUCACGAGAAACUGCGAAUGGCUCAUUAAAUCAGUUAUAGUUUAUUUGAUAGUGGAGUUUUACAUGGAUAACCGUAGAAAUUCUAGAGCUAAUACAUGCGUCAAGACCCGACUUUGCGGAAGGGUUGUAUUUAUUAGAUUCAAAACCAGCGGCAGGGCAACCUGUCUUGUGUGGUGAUUCAUAAUAACUGAGCGGAUCGCAUUUGGCACUUGCUGCCGGCGAUGGAUCAUUCAAAUUUCUGACUUAUCAACUUUCGAUUUCCGGAGAGGGGGCCUGAGAAAUGGCCACCACAUCCAAGGAAGGCAGCAGGCGCGUAAAUUACCCAAUACCGACACGGUGAGGUAGUGACAAUAAAUAACAAUGCGGGCUCUUACGAGCUCCGUAAUUGGAAUGAGUACAAUUUAAAAACCUUAACGAGAACCCAUUGGAGGGCAAGUCUGGUGCCAGCAGCCGCGGUAAUUCCAGCUCCAAUAGCGUAUAUUAAAGUUGCUGCAGUUAAAAAGCUCGUAGUUGGAUUUGGAGGGGUGAAGCAAAGGGGUGGGGCCCUCCGGGGCGCCGCCCUGCACCUCUUUGCCCGCAAGGGCAGAUGCCCGAUGAUUGGCGGCGUGCCCUUGAGUGGGUGCGGCGACAAGUCGGGGAGUUUACCAAGUCGGGGAGUUUACUUUGAAAAAAUUAGAGUGUUCAAAGCAGGCUUUUCAAUGCUUGGAUAGAUUAGCAUGGGAUAAUGGAAAACGAUUUUGGUCGAGUUUUGUUGGUGUUUGGUGACCGAAGUAAUGAUUAAUAGGGAUAGUUGGGGGCAUUAGUAUUUAAUUGUCAGAGGUGAAAUUCUUGGAUUUAUGAAAGACUAACUACUGCGAAAGCAUUUGUCAAAGAUGUUUUCAUUAAUCAAGAACGAAAGUUAGGGGAUCGAAGACGAUUAGAUACCGUCGUAGUCUUAACCAUAAACGAUGCCGACUAGGGACCAGUGGAGUGCGGGGGUCCGCAAGGGCAGCCGCGUGUGUGAAUGCAAAUGAGCACAGCAUUGGGACCUUUAUGAGAAAUCGAUAAGUUUUUGGGUUCUGGGGGGAGUAUGGUCGCAAGGCUGAAACUUAAAGGAAUUGACGGAAGGGCA
Molecule: ribosomal RNA, 1168 nt
Filed under: uncultured soil eukaryote
Lineage: Eukaryota
Description: SSU rRNA
Rfam family: Eukaryotic small subunit ribosomal RNA
Source: RNAcentral